Molecule: ribosomal RNA, 245 nt
Filed under: uncultured bacterium
Lineage: Bacteria
Description: partial small subunit ribosomal RNA
Rfam family: Bacterial small subunit ribosomal RNA
Source: RNAcentral
AGAAUCAACGCUGGCGGCGUGCCUAACACAUGCAAGUCGCACGAGAAAGGGGCUUCGGCUCUGAGUAAAGUGGCGCACGGGUGAGUAACACGUGAAUUAUCUACCUCCGAGUGGGGAAUAACUGAGAGAAAUCUUAGCUAAUACCGCAUAACACUUACGGGUCAAAGCAGCAAUGCGCUUGGAGAGGAGUUCGCGGCCGAUUAGUUAGUUGGCGGGGUAAUGGCCCACCAAGACGAUGAUUGGUA